This 301-nucleotide ribosomal RNA is filed under the name uncultured bacterium. RNAcentral describes it as "partial 16S ribosomal RNA". It matches the Rfam family "Bacterial small subunit ribosomal RNA", at positions 509 to 807 of the family's 1533-position model. The record is from RNAcentral.
CAGUCGCCACGGUAAUACGUAGGUGGCAAGCGUUGUCCGGAAUUAUUGGGCGUAAAGGGCUCGCAGGCGGUUUCUUGAGUCUGAUGUGAAAGCCCACGGCUCAACCGGGGAGGGUCAUUGGAAACUGGGAAACUUGAGUGCAGAAGAGGAGAGUGGAAUUCCACGUGUAGCGGUGAAAUGCGUAGAGAUGUGGAGGAACACCAGUGGCGAAGGCGACUCUCUGGUCUGUAACUGACGCUGAGGAGCGAAAGCGUGGGGAGCGAACAGGAUUAGAUACCCCAGUAGUCCCUGUCUCUUAUAC